ACCCGCUGAACUUAAGCAUAUCAAUAAGCGGAGGAAAAGAAACCAACAGGGAUUGCCCUAGUAACGGCGAGUGAAGCGGCAACAGCUCAAAUUUGAAAUCUGGCGCAAGCCCGAGUUGUAAUUUGUAGAGGAUGCUUCUAGGUAGCGACCGGUCUAAGUUCCUUGGAACAGGACGUCAUAGAGGGUGAGAAUCCCGUAUGUGACUGGCCCGCACCUUCUACGUAGCUCCUUCGACGAGUCGAGUUGUUUGGGAAUGCAGCUCUAAAUGGGAGGUAAAUUUCUUCUAAAGCUAAAUACCGGCCAGAGACCGAUAGCGCACAAGUAGAGUGAUCGAAAGAUGAAAAGCACUUUGGAAAGAGAGUUAAAAAGCACGUGAAAUUGUUGAAAGGGAAGCGCUCACAACCAGACUUCUAGGCAGUGUUCCGCCGGUCUUUUGACCGGUCUACUCUCUGUCUCGAGGCCAACAUCAUCUGGGACCGCCGGAUAAGACCUUAGGAAUGUAGCUCCCCUCGGGGAGUGUUAUAGCCUCUGGUGAUGCGGCGCGUCUCGGGUGAGGUCCGCGCUUCGGCAAGGAUGUUGGCGUAAUGGUUGUCAGCGGCCCGUCUUGAAACACGGACCAAGGAGUCUAACAUCUAUGCGAGUGUUCGGGUGUCAAACCCCUACGCGUGAUGAAAGUGAACGGAGGUGGGAAGCGUAAGCUGCACCAUCGACCGAUCCUGAUGUCCUCGGAUGGAUUUGAGUAAGAGCAUAGCUGUUGGGACCCGAAAGAUGGUGAACUAUGCCUGAAUAGGGUGAAGCCAGAGGAAACUCUGGUGGAGGCUCGCAGCGGUUCUGACGUGCAAAUCGAUCGUCAAAUUUGGGUAUAGGGGCGAAAGACUAAUCGAACCAUCUAGUAGCUGGUUCCUGCCGAAGUUUCCCUCA
RNAcentral lists this ribosomal RNA (921 nucleotides) under Ramularia endophylla. RNAcentral's name for it is "LSU rRNA". It matches the Rfam family "Eukaryotic large subunit ribosomal RNA", at positions 23 to 975 of the family's 3401-position model. Lineage: Eukaryota; Fungi; Ascomycota; Dothideomycetes; Mycosphaerellales; Mycosphaerellaceae. The record is from RNAcentral.